AGGCCAAUCAAACCCGGAGAUAUCUCGUUCUCCCCGAAAUAGCUUUAGGGCUAGCGUCGCGCGUUCACCGCCGGAGGUAGAGCACCGGAUGGACGAGGGGGCUUCGCCGCCUACCGAAUCCAACCGAACUCCGAAUGCCGGCGGCCCAGAGCGCGGCAGUCAGAGCAUGUGGGCUAAGCUGUGUGCUCGAGAGGGAAACAGCCCGGACCGCCCGCUAAGGUCCCCAAGUUCCAGCCGAGUGGCAAAGGAUGUGCGUCCGCCCAGACAACCAGGAUGUUGGCUUAGAAGCAGCCAUCCAUUCAAAGAGUGCGUAACAGCUCACUGGUCGAGUGGACAUGCGCCGACAAUACACGGGGCUAAGCUGGACACCGAAGCGGCGGGAUUUUGAUUUUCAGAAUCGGUAGGGGAGCUUCCCAUGGGCGGUGAAGCCGCCGGGCGACCGGCGGUGGAGCGCAUGGGAGUGAGAAUGCUGGCAUGAGUAGCGAGAGACGAGAGAGUAACUCGUCCGCCGUGAACCCGAGGUUUCCUGGGCAAGGCUAAUCCUCCCAGGGUCAGUCGGGGGCUAAGGCGAGGCCGGGAGGCGUAGCCGACGCGCAGCAGGCAGACAUUCCUGCACCGCGCACGCGGCGCUACGACCGACGGGGCGACGGAUGGGGGUGGCUCGGCGGGGUUCUGGACGUCCCCGUGAUGGAGCGCGGCCCGCGGACCAGGGAAAUCCGGUCCGCACGAGGGCGAGGCUCCGGACGAAGCGAUUGAGCGAAGCGAGUGAGCCCGAGGUCCCUAGAAAAACCCCUAGGCAGGCGCGUGCGCGCCCGUACCGCAAACCGACACAGGUGGGUGGGUAGAACAUACCGAGGCGAUCGGGUCAACCAUGGUCAAGGAACUCGGCACAAUGGCCCCGUAACUUCGGGAGAAGGGGUGCCCGCGCGUACGUGAACGGACUUGCUCCGGGAGCGGAGGCGGGCCGCAGUGGAGAGGCCCAAGCGACUGUUUACCAAAAACACAGGACUCUGCAGAAGCCGCAAGGCGACGUAUAGGGUCUGACGCCUGCCCGGUGCCGGAAGGUCACGCGGAGGAGUUAGCGCAUCGCGCGAAGCCCCGAAGCCAAGCCCCGGUAAACGGCGGCCGUAACUAUAACGGUCCUAAGGUAGCGAAAUUCCUUGUCGGGUAAGUUCCGACCUGCACGAAAGGCGCAACGACUUGGGCGCUGUCUCGACCAUGGACCCGGUGAAAUUGCACUGGUCGUGAAGAUGCGACUUACCCGCGGAAGGACGGAAAGACCCCGUGAACCUUCACUGCAGCUUGGCAUUGGCCGCUGGUCCCGCGUGUAGAGGAUAGGCAGGAGGCACAGAUCCGGAGGCGCCAGCCCCCGGGGAGCCGCCCUUGGAAUACUGCCCUCGCGCGACCGGCGUCCUAACCCGAGGCCGUCAACCGGCUCGGGGACCGUGCCAGGCGGGCAGUUUGACUGGGGCGGUCGCCUCCUAAAGGGUAACGGAGGCGCGCGAAGGUCCGCUCGGGACGGUCGGCAACCGUCCUUUUGAAUGCAAGAGUACAAGCGGGCUUGACUGCGAGGCCCACAAGCCGAGCAGGUGCGAAAGCAGGCUCUAGUGAUCCGGCGGCCCCGAGUGGGUGGGCCGUCGCUCAACGGAUAAAAGGUACUCCGGGGAUAACAGGCUGAUCUUGCCCAAGAGUCCACAUCGACGGCAAGGUUUGGCACCUCGAUGUCGGCUCAUCGCAUCCUGGGGCUGGAGCAGGUCCCAAGGGUACGGCUGUUCGCCGUUUAAAGCGGUACGCGAGCUGGGUUCAGAACGUCGUGAGACAGUUCGGUCCCUAUCCUCCGUGGGCGCAGGAGAAUCGAUGGAGGCUGCCCCCAGUACGAGAGGACCGGGGUGGACGCACCUCCGGUGAACCGGUUGUCGACCAACGGCACGGCCGGGUAGCCGCGUGCGGCGCGGAUAACCGCUGAAGGCAUCUAAGCGGGAAGCCGUUCCAGGGAUUAGUUCUCCUUCCGGUAAGGGCCCAGGUAGACUACCUGGUCGAUAGACGGCAGGUGCAAGGGCGGCGACGUCCUCAGCCGAGCCGCACUAAUCGCCCGAGCUCUUCCGGAA
RNAcentral lists this ribosomal RNA (2108 nucleotides) under human gut metagenome. RNAcentral's name for it is "bacterial LSU rRNA". It matches the Rfam family "Bacterial large subunit ribosomal RNA", at positions 826 to 2925 of the family's 2925-position model. The record is from RNAcentral.